Molecule: ribosomal RNA, 361 nt
Filed under: Tenerella affinis
Lineage: Eukaryota; Metazoa; Arthropoda; Insecta; Phasmatodea; Pseudophasmatidae
Description: partial small subunit ribosomal RNA
Source: RNAcentral
UUAUACAAUAAAUGUUAAUUAAUAUUUUGGUUUAUUAAAGUUAAAAUUUUUUAGGGUUUAUAUGAUUUAUUUUUAGGUGAAAUUUAAAUAUUUAUUAAUCUUUUUUUGAUUCUUUUAAAAUCAAAGUUUAGACUAGGAUUAGAUACCCUAUUAUUUUGUUUGUAAAUUUUCCUGGGUAGUAUUAGUUAUUUUCUUUAAACCUAAAGAAUUUGGCGGUAUUUUAGUCCUUUUAGAGGAACCUGUCCCGUAAUCGAUAGUCCUCGUUUUAUCUUUCUUAUUUUUGUGUUCAGUAUAUAUACCGCCGUUAUAGGUUUAUUUUUUUAGAUUAUAAUUUACUUAAUAGAUUAUUUUCUUUUAUUUC